AUACGGAGGGUGCAAGCGUUGUUCGGAAUUACUGGGCGUAAAGAGAGUGUAGGUUGUUUAUUAAGUCGGAUGUGAAAUCCCGGGGCUCAACCUCGGAACUGCAUUCGAUACUGGUAGACUAGAGUUCGGGAGGGGUAAGCGGAAUUCCGUGUGUAGCAGUGAAAUGCGUAGAUAUACGGAGGAACACCUGAGGCGAAGGCGGCUUACUGGACCGAUACUGACACUGAGACUCGAAAGCGUGGGUAGCAAACAGGAUUAGAAACCCUUGUAGUCC
Molecule: ribosomal RNA, 274 nt
Filed under: uncultured bacterium
Lineage: Bacteria
Description: partial 16S ribosomal RNA
Rfam family: Bacterial small subunit ribosomal RNA
Source: RNAcentral